GACGAACGCUGGCGGCGUGCUUAACACAUGCAAGUCGAACGGAAAGGCCCUGCUUUUGUGGGGUGCUCGAGUGGCGAACGGGUGAGUAACACGUGAGUAACCUGCCCUUGACUUUGGGAUAACUUCAGGAAACUGGGGCUAAUACCGGAUAGGAGCUCCUGCUGCAUGGUGGGGGUUGGAAAGUUUCGGCGGUUGGGGAUGGACUCGCAGCUUAUCAGCUUGUUGGUGGGGUAGUGGCUUACCAAGGCUUUGACGGGUGGCCGGCCUGAGAGGGUGACCGGCCACAUUGGGACUGAGAUACGGCCCAGACUCCUACGGGAGGCAGCAGUGGGGAAUAUUGCACAAUGGGCGGAAGCCUGAUGCAGCAACGCCGCGUGCGGGAUGACGGCCUUCGGGUUGUAAACCGCUUUCGCCUGUGACGAAGCGUGAGUGACGGUAAUGGGUAAAGAAGCACCGGCUAACUACGUG
Molecule: ribosomal RNA, 468 nt
Filed under: uncultured bacterium
Lineage: Bacteria
Description: partial 16S ribosomal RNA
Rfam family: Bacterial small subunit ribosomal RNA
Source: RNAcentral